Molecule: long non-coding RNA, 1794 nt
Organism: Brassica napus (rape)
Lineage: Eukaryota; Viridiplantae; Streptophyta; Magnoliopsida; Brassicales; Brassicaceae
Exons: 2
Source: RefSeq, a predicted model, not a curated record
AUGAGUUGAACGGUCUGUAAGGAGAGAGAGCUGCUGCUAGUUGCUGACAGAGAGAAAAGGAGGCGACUGGAAGAGCUUUAGAAGUCGCCGGAAAAUAGCAAGAGAUUGUUUGGUUUCUGAUUUAUGGGUGGUGGAUUUUUGGAAGGGUUUAGAGACAAGGUCGUGCUGAUAACGUGUUGUGAAUGAAGAGGGGAACUUGUGUGUAUUAUUAGGUCGACCAACUGGUCUUUAUAUACAUAUGGUAAUGACGGUCUAAGUACUGGAUCCACAUGAGAUCGUACUUAUCCUUAACUAGAUAAUGACUAGCAAUACGUAAGAUAAACACCAACUAUAAUGUAGAUAAACACAAGAGUAGAUAGACGCCAGUAUGAUCCUGCGGAUGGGCUUGGCCUGUCUUGCUACACGGGCUGAUAAAUGGGUCGAUCACUAAAUGGUUUAUAACAAUACUCUUUUAGUUGAAUUUAUAUUGACAACGGUAUCCAACUUUUUCUUUUAAACUAUUUUAUGCAAAUGUCGUAUAGUUUAUUUAGGGGUUUAUGACAGUUUAAUUUCAUAAAUAUUAAACUUUACUUUAAGACUAAUCAUAUUCUCUUUUCAGAUUUUCAUUUUGUUUGGACAUUCUUUUUCCAAAAUAGAACACCAAUCAAUUAUUGUUUGUAACUUCUAGAUAUUAUAAGCAAUUUAUAUGAUGACAGGUGCACCGAUCUACCUUUUCCUAAUAAAAUAGCAUGUGUAUACAAACAUAACCUGCAUAUUUGCAAGGAUGGAUUUUUGGCUUUUGGAGUGACGUGUUUUUUUUAAUGGCGUUACUAUCCCUAUCAUACUAUAUCGAAGCCUAAUAUGUAAUAUUUGCCAAAACCUUAUAUUCUCUUUAAUGAUUACGCGUGAUGAGAAAGACGACGCUUUAUCACUACAAUCGAUAAACUCUAAUGGAAGAAAUAUCUAUCUCAUCUCUAUCAAUCCUUUUGGUUUCUCCGUAGCACGUUUCCAUUUUCUCACAAUCUCUUCGAGUUCUCACCUCCUUGAUAUUUCUGCAACCGACGUUCGACGGGUCCUCUAAUCGGUCGGAAAAGGAAGAUGAUAGGUUCAUAUAUAUUUGACCCCAACACACAGAUGGAUUCAAUUUUUUCUCGCCAUGGUUCAUCUCCAAAUGGUGAUUUCGGUUCUGAAUUCUACAUCAGGAACUUCUCCGACCAUUUGCUUCGCAUCGAAAUCAUAGGUGGACCGUCAGAUUCUAAGUCUGAUGGUAAAGGUUGAACGAGAAUUCUCAUUCGCUAGACAUGACUCUCUCUCACCGACUCCGUAUCCCAGAUCCGUAAUAAUCUCGCCUACAUCAAGAUCGAAAGGGUCUAUAACGGGAGGGUCCAAAGGCUUGUGAAGUUCCAGUUUCCAGCAAAGAUCUCUAUAAAUACUGCAGAGAGGGCCAGACCAGUUUCAGCGAAGGUAUGUGUUUAUUUACUUAUCUAUGUGGCCGGAUACGUGUUAUAGUGACCGGUUAAGAUAAACAUUAUACGGCCAAGCAAUAUUAAUAAGUUCAUGUACGUUCUGUUUCAUGUCUAUUAUUGUACUGGUGGCAUUUUAGUUUUCAGCAAAGAUCUUACAGAUACUUCGAAGAGGACCAGGCCGAAAUUUAUAUCAAUAACAAGUUUUAGUUUAGCCGUUUUUAUCUAAAGAUAUUCGUCUCAGGUGCUAUCGGUUGUAAAGCAUAAAUUUGCAAUUAAUUAACUAUGCUUACAGUGUUAUAUCCGGCUAAAAAUCUUUUUAAUCAUAUGUGUUGAGAUUUGGUAAAGUUAA